Molecule: unclassified non-coding RNA, 2228 nt
Filed under: Homo sapiens (human)
Lineage: Eukaryota; Metazoa; Chordata; Mammalia; Primates; Hominidae
Description: valyl-tRNA synthetase 2, mitochondrial (ENSG00000236178.11)
Source: RNAcentral
UGUUCAGCCACAUGUGGGCACGGGGGCAGUGAAGGUGACUCCAGCUCACAGUCCUGCCGAUGCUGAGAUGGGGGCCCGACAUGGCUUGAGCCCCUUGAAUGUCAUUGCGGAGGAUGGGACCAUGACCUCCCUCUGCGGGGACUGGCUGCAGGGUCUUCACCGGUUUGUGGCCCGGGAAAAGAUAAUGUCUGUGCUGAGUGAAUGGGGCCUGUUCCGGGGCCUCCAGAACCACCCCAUGGUACUGCCCAUCUGCAGCCGUUCUGGGGAUGUGAUAGAAUACCUGCUGAAGAACCAGUGGUUUGUCCGCUGCCAGGAAAUGGGGGCCCGAGCUGCCAAGGCUGUGGAGUCGGGGGCCCUGGAGCUCAGUCCCUCCUUCCACCAGAAGAACUGGCAGCACUGGUUUUCCCAUAUUGGGGACUGGUGUGUCUCCCGGCAGCUGUGGUGGGGCCAUCAGAUUCCAGCCUACCUGGUUGUAGAGGACCAUGCGCAGGGAGAAGAGGACUGUUGGGUGGUUGGGCGGUCAGAGGCUGAGGCCAGAGAGGUAGCAGCGGAACUGACAGGGAGGCCAGGGGCAGAGCUGACCCUGGAGAGGGACCCCAGACCUUGCUCGUUUCUACCCCCUGUCACUUUUGGAAACGGGCAGCGACCUUCUGCUGUUCUGGGUGGGCCGCAUGGUCAUGUUGGGGACCCAGCUCACAGGGCAGCUGCCCUUCAGCAAGGUGCUUCUUCAUCCCAUGGUUCGGGACAGGCAGGGCCGGAAGAUGAGCAAGUCCCUGGGGAAUGUGCUGGACCCAAGAGACAUCAUCAGUGGGGUGGAGAUGCAGGUGCUGCAGGAAAAGCUGAGAAGCGGAAAUUUGGACCCUGCAGAGCUGGCCAUUGUGGCUGCAGCACAGAAAAAGGACUUUCCUCACGGGAUCCCUGAGUGUGGGACAGAUGCCCUGAGAUUCACACUCUGCUCCCAUGGAGUUCAGGCGGGCGACUUGCACCUGUCAGUCUCUGAGGUCCAGAGCUGCCGACAUUUCUGCAACAAGAUCUGGAAUGCUCUUCGCUUUAUCCUCAAUGCUUUAGGGGAGAAAUUUGUGCCACAGCCUGCUGAGGAGCUGUCUCCCUCCUCCCCGAUGGAUGCCUGGAUCCUGAGCCGCCUUGCCCUGGCUGCCCAGGAGUGUGAGCGGGGCUUCCUCACCCGAGAGCUCUCGCUCGUCACUCAUGCCCUGCACCACUUCUGGCUUCACAACCUCUGUGACGUCUACCUGGAGGCUGUGAAGCCCGUGCUGUGGCACUCGCCCCGCCCCCUGGGGCCCCCUCAGGUCCUGUUCUCCUGCGCUGACCUCGGCCUCCGCCUCCUGGCCCCACUGAUGCCCUUCCUGGCUGAAGAGCUCUGGCAGAGGCUGCCCCCCAGGCCUGGUUGCCCCCCUGCCCCCAGCAUCUCGGUUGCCCCCUACCCCAGCGCCUGCAGCUUGGAGCACUGGCGCCAGCCAGAGCUGGAGCGGCGCUUCUCCCGGGUCCAAGAGGUCGUGCAGGUGCUAAGGGCUCUCCGAGCCACGUACCAGCUCACCAAAGCCCGGCCCCGAGUGCUGCUGCAGAGCUCAGAGCCUGGGGACCAGGGCCUCUUCGAGGCCUUCUUGGAGCCCCUGGGCACCCUGGGCUACUGUGGGGCUGUGGGCCUGUUACCCCCAGGCGCAGCAGCUCCCUCCGGCUGGGCCCAGGCUCCACUCAGUGACACGGCUCAAGUCUACAUGGAGCUGCAGGGCCUGGUGGACCCGCAGAUCCAGCUACCUCUGUUAGCCGCCCGAAGGUACAAGUUGCAGAAGCAGCUUGAUAGCCUCACAGCCAGGACCCCAUCAGAAGGGGAGGCAGGGACUCAGAGGCAACAAAAGCUUUCUUCCCUCCAGCUGGAAUUGUCAAAACUGGACAAGGCAGCCUCUCACCUCCAGCAGCUGAUGGAUGAGCCUCCAGCCCCAGGGAGCCCGGAGCUCUAACUCAUCAUCCCCAUCAGUUUUCCUCCCUCUCAGACCUGUCUUUGAGGACAAACAGAUUUGUCAGCUGUCAGGGUGCAGUGGGACGUCAGAGACUAUGUGGUCCAUCGCCUUCAUUGUGUAAAUGAGGACACAGACUGGCUUGGUCGCAGUGACUGUGGUGUCCUUGAGAUGCUCACAUUACUGCCCGGCCUGCCUCCCACCUGGAAGUCUGGGAAUGAGGAGAUUGAGAUAAACUUUUGAAAUCCCAAA